Molecule: long non-coding RNA, 834 nt
Filed under: Felis catus (domestic cat)
Lineage: Eukaryota; Metazoa; Chordata; Mammalia; Carnivora; Felidae
Description: lncRNA (ENSFCAG00000049069.1)
Source: RNAcentral
CUCAGUUUGGGUUUUAUCUCAUCUUCUCUUCUUUUGUUCCUUCUGAUUCUCUUUUGUACAGGCCAUAACUUCUCGCUUUCUUAUUUAGGAUGUCAAACAGAUUUCUAAAUGAAAAUCACUUUCAGAGGCAGCAGUUGGGAGAGGCUGAAUCAGGGGCUGCUGGCCAAGUACCAUUUAAAGCUAGAAAUGCUUCAUUGAUUUUUAUCGAUACCGCAUCAGCCUGUUCUCCACUCCUCCAGCCUCCGACUGCAGGAUUUCCCAAGGCACAGGUUUUGGUUGGCUGCUCAGUCUUCAGUCUAGAUUAAUGUACUCUUACACCUUCACAUCCGGUACCUGGGAGCUCCAGGCUAACAAGAAAUAAGAAAAUGGACCAACUGCUGAGUCUAAUUUCCUCCUAAUGGAUGAGAAUAUGUUAUAAGCUGUGGCCCAUGUCUGCAGAAAAGCAUACAGCUAGCCAAUGCAUGAAGAAUUUUGCAUAGUUUCAAGGCACCCAUGGAUCUGUCUAAAAGAUUUCUGCAUCUCAGGAUAAGAAUUCCUGUCAUAUUUAUAUGUGUGUUAGGCACUGGAGAAGCAGAUAUUAAUCAAAAAAUCAUAUAGACAAAUGUAAAUUACCACUGUAAUUUUAGGUGCAUAACAGGUUGGUUGUCCUAGGCAGAGAGGUCCCAGAAGGCUUUUCUGGCAAAGUGAUGAUUGGGGUGAAGUCAAACAGAAGGGUAGAGAGAGUCCAGAUAGAGGAAAUAGCCUGAAAAAAAGUUCUGUGGCCAGGAGGCAUAGGCAUAUUUAGGGAAUGGAAAGGCUAGUGUGGCUGAUGGACAGAGAAUGAGGGAGAGGAAA